Molecule: long non-coding RNA, 1637 nt
Organism: Brachypodium distachyon (stiff brome)
Lineage: Eukaryota; Viridiplantae; Streptophyta; Magnoliopsida; Poales; Poaceae
Exons: 4
Source: RefSeq, a predicted model, not a curated record
CGCCCUCGCCCUCGCCCCAGCUCGCGCCGCCGCCGCCACCGCCCUACACCCGGCCCGCGGCGCCGCCGCGCUCGCCCUCGCCACAGCGUCCGCAGCCGCCGCGCUCCACCCAGCCGGCGGGAGAGGGGACAAGAUCUGCUGGCGCCCUGGCCUCCCCCGCCCCGCCGUCCUCCCCUGCCUCAUCUCCUACACUGCGGGAGAGGGGAGGAAGAUCCCCCUGCGCCCCGGCCUCUUCUGCCGUCUGCCCCUUGCUCCCCCGCCCCGACGGCAUCCUUGGACCACGUCCUGGCGUGUCUGCACCACCGCACGUGAUGAUGGCGACUCAGCAACCGGCCGGCUAUGACCCUGCGCUGCUCUAGGCUCUCAACAACAUGUCGUUGCGUCCUCUGCGUCCAAUAGUGGGGAAUGGUUCCUCGACAUCGGCGCGUCAUCGCACAUGUCCAACUCGUCCGAACAACAGCUGCAAUGGCAAGCAAACCAAGCUUGCUGCAAUACAGAUACUAGAUGAUUGGCAGGAAACUGGUACACUUUUGGCUGCAUUAGAGAAGAUUGAAUCUUGGAUAUUUUCUCGGAUUGUCGAGACUGUGUGGUGGCAGGUACCAUGAAGAUUGAACAAUUAGCUGCUGGUAUAGCUAUGGAGUUGUUCUGUGAAUCGUAAAGUGCUUGCACAAUCAAGUUUUGUAUAGCUGGAGGCCUAACCAUUUGUUGCCGGUUUCCUGAUGUUGCUCCCGACCCCGUAGUGUAUAGUUCGGCUCAAGAACUGAUUCCACCGUAAAUUGCUAUUGUGCUUUAGCUCGCCAAAAGUGGAAAACCCAUAUUAUUCAUGAAUUCCAAGCUUGGGGCCAAGUGUUGAUGGCCUCAGCAUAAUUUUGGUUGAUAUCUGUGAAUGGAAUUCUCUUAUAAGCACUCUAUACUUCUCUUAUAAUUUGUUUAUAAUACCAAACUUACAAUAUGUAUUGGUGGCCAUGCAAAGAUUUGAAUUCUACAGUACACGUCCAAAUACAAGAAAAGAUAUCAAACAAGCACAUUAUUGGUCAUCUCAACGGCAGCAGCAGAUCAUCCGUUGUUUGCAUAGUGCACCUUUUGUUCCUUCAUAUAUUAUUGAGUAUUGACUGCAGUAAAACGGUGUCAUAUAUACUAUAUGAGCAUUUUAAACUUUGAAUCUUAUUGAUUGCAGUAAAACUUCCAUAUACAGCCAUGAAACUAUAUCUUGGAUGAAAUUGGGAAAAGGUCCUCCUGUCAACAAAGCAGCAGCGAGUGAAACCCAGUUGGUUGCAGUCAGCGAGGUGCAGUCAGCAGGGGCGGGGCGCGCGAGCUAGCAGCGGGCCGGCGGCGGCAUCCUGAGGAGGCUGGAUCAGCGGCGGCUUCAGGAGGAAGAAGGCUCUUCUGGACAAGCACGGGUGAAACCAACCGUUUUCAAGAGAUCGGGUCACCUGUUUCGACAAGAUUGGACACCGAAGAUAUUGGGUUUCUCCUCCGCGGAUUCGGAUCCCCGAAAAAAAUUCAGAUCGGACCUUGUUUCCGGACAGUUUUUUUUUCCUAACCCAUUGAAGUAACGGUUAUUUUUCGGAUCGAGCAUCUUUUCCGUAUGGGGAAAUUUGCUCUUGAACACCGUUAUUUCGUGUCUUUUGCUCAAA